This 249-nucleotide ribosomal RNA is filed under the name Escherichia coli. Its description in RNAcentral is "partial 23S ribosomal RNA". It matches the Rfam family "Bacterial large subunit ribosomal RNA", at positions 2682 to 2925 of the family's 2925-position model. The record is from RNAcentral. Lineage: Bacteria; Pseudomonadati; Pseudomonadota; Gammaproteobacteria; Enterobacterales; Enterobacteriaceae.
UACGAGAGGACCGGAGUGGACGCAUCACUGGUGUUCGGGUUGUCAUGCCAAUGGCACUGCCCGGUAGCUAAAUGCGGAAGAGAUAAGUGCUGAAAGCAUCUAAGCACGAAACUUGCCCCGAGAUGAGUUCUCCCUGACUCCUUGAGAGUCCUGAAGGAACGUUGAAGACGACGACGUUGAUAGGCCGGGUGUGUAAGCGCAGCGAUGCGUUGAGCUAACCGGUACUAAUGAACCGUGAGGCUUAACCUU